Molecule: long non-coding RNA, 1206 nt
Filed under: Fragaria vesca (wild strawberry)
Lineage: Eukaryota; Viridiplantae; Streptophyta; Magnoliopsida; Rosales; Rosaceae
Description: long non-coding RNA (FVES_LNC005092)
Source: RNAcentral
UUUCGUAAAAUUGCUAAAAUGACUAAAAUUUGAUAAUUUAGGGGUAUACCAGUUAAAUUUGAAAACUGAGAGCAAAAUAUAUGGUGUCACAAGUAUUUUCUCAAAAAAAAAAUAUAGAGUAAAUGUUAGUAGUGUAAUAAUCAUUUUUCUGAAAUAGUUGUGUGAGAAAUUACUUCUGAUAUUGCUGUGUGGGAAAUCAGCUGAAGUGUUUGGUAAAUUGUUUUAAUUUUUAUUUUUACAACUUUUAUUAUAUAAUUGAAAAUAUAUAAGAAUUUAAAUAAUAAAUAAAAAUUCAUCUAAAAUAUUCAAAUUUCAAAAUAAUCCUAACAAAUUUAGGAUGAUAAUGUUAAGCAAUAGAGAGAGCCAAUCCAUUAUCUUUCAUUCUUUCUUAACUCCUCAAACUCAAAACCAGAAGAUUCUUGUUAAACAAAAUUAUUAAAAUGCUCAAACUGUCUAAAAAGUUGUCAACAACCAAAAACGCCUAAGAUCUCUAAUGAACUCUUCUAAGCGAGCUACCGCCUAGCACCUAAAUAAGCUGGAUGGCCGACUUUCAAAACAUUGCUAAUAAGGGGUUGUAAAGAAACCCUAGCAUGUUUUUUUUCCUUACCGUAUUGCUUUCUUAAAUGAGAACAAAAAUGUAGCACUUUUUAAAAUAUGAAAUUAAUUUCCAUCUGGUUCUAAUCUUCUAGAAGUGCAACAUGUUAGGAAAAAAGCCAUGUUGGUUUCACCUAACAAUUUGGCAUUUGACUUGAAGACAUUGGGGGAUUGGUCCCAACUCUUAUAAGAUGGGAGGUGCAAACUAGACAUUCCCUCACAAAUCUGUAUAUUGACGGUUAUCCGUAGUUUGUGUCCAAAUCACAUUUUUUAGAGCAGAAAAUUAUGGGAUGUGAAAUCUACACACCCCAAAUUAAAAUCCACACAACCUUUUUUCUUUUUUGGUAAACACAUUUUCAAAAAAACAAAGUUUAAGUCACUAAAAGACAAUUUAAGUUACCAAAAAAAGAAAAAAAGUGUGUGGAUUUCACAACCCAAAAUUAUAUGUGCGGUUGUUGUCAUGUUUGACGCCGCCAUCAUGUCCGGCAGACGCCCCGGCCCUGUCACCACAUGAUCAUCAUCAGCAUUAAUACCACCAAAACUGCUUGGAGAUCUCCGCCCCACACCGCCCGUAACGAGGACCACGAAGAAACUCUGACCUGGUAACCAGAU